AACGAACGCUGGCGGCAUGCCUAACACAUGCAAGUCGAACGAGACCUUCGGGUCUAGUGGCGCACGGGUGCGUAACGCGUGGGAACCUGCCCUUAGGUUCGGAAUAACUCCCCGAAAGGGGUGCUAAUACCGGAUAAUGUCUUCGGACCAAAGAUUUAUCGCCUUUGGAUGGGCCCGCGUUGGAUUAGCUAGUUGGUAGGGUAAAAGCCUACCAAGGCGACGAUCCAUAGCUGGUCUGAGAGGAUGAUCAGCCACACUGGGACUGAGACACGGCCCAGACUCGUACGGGAGGCAGCAGUGGGGAAUAUUGGACAAUGGGCGAAAGCCUGAUCAAGCAAUGCCGCGUGAGUGAUGAAGGCCUUAGGGUUGUAAAGCUCUUUUACCCGGGAUGAUAAUGACAGUACCGGGAGAAUAAGCGCCGGCUAACUCCGUG
Molecule: ribosomal RNA, 433 nt
Filed under: uncultured bacterium
Lineage: Bacteria
Description: partial 16S ribosomal RNA
Rfam family: Bacterial small subunit ribosomal RNA
Source: RNAcentral